This 1341-nucleotide ribosomal RNA is filed under the name Cryptocellus becki. Its description in RNAcentral is "partial large subunit ribosomal RNA". It matches the Rfam family "Eukaryotic large subunit ribosomal RNA", at positions 666 to 1897 of the family's 3401-position model. Lineage: Eukaryota; Metazoa; Arthropoda; Arachnida; Ricinulei; Ricinoididae. The record is from RNAcentral.
CCAAGGAGUCUAACAUGUGUGCGAGUCACCGGGUCUUGCCCAGGCUCGGAGGCGAAAUGAAAGUGAAGGCCGAUCUGGGCGUCGGCUGCGGUGUGAUCCGUGUGUGCAAUAUCCCGUCGAUCCCUUGUGGAAGGCGGGGCCACCGGCGCAACACCGGCCCGUCCCGUCCGCAGCGUCGGUGGGGCGGAGCGAGAGCAUACACGUUGGGACCCGAAAGAUGGUGAACUAUGCCUGGGCAGGACGAAGCCAGAGGAAACUCUGGUGGAGGUCCGCAGCGAUUCUGACGUGCAAAUCGAUCGUCAGACCUGGGUAUAGGGGCGAAAGACUAAUCGAACCAUCUAGUAGCUGGUUCCCUCCGAAGUUUCCCUCAGGAUAGCUGGCGCUCGAGGGAGGCAGUCUCAUCCGGUAAAGCGAAUGAUUAGAGGCCUUGGGGCCGAAACGACCUCAACCUAUUCUCAAACUUUCAAUGGGUGAGAAGUCCGGCUUGCUCGACUGAAGCCCGGACGUCCCAGGAUGCGAGUGCCCAGUGGGCCACUUUUGGUAAGCAGAACUGGCGCUGUGGGAUGAACCAAACGCUGGGUUAAGGCGCCCGAUGCGAGACGCUCAUCAGAUCCCAUGAAAGGUGUUGGUUGCUAUAGACAGCAGGACGGUGGCCAUGGAAGUCGGAAUCCGCUAAGGAGUGUGUAACAACUCACCUGCCGAAGCAACUAGCCCUGAAAAUGGAUGGCGCUGUAGCGUCGAGCCCAUACCCGGCCGCCCCGGCUGGGCGCGGAAGCUUAUGCCGGGGUGAGUAGGAGGUGUCGCAGCGGCGUGCGUUGAAGGUGCCGGGCGUGGGCCCGCCUGGAGCCGCCGCUGGUGCAGAUCUUGGUGGUAGUAGCAAAUACUCAAGUGAGAACCUUGAGGACUGAGGUGGAGAAGGGUUCCAUGUGAACAGCAGUUGAACAUGGGUCAGUCGGUCCUAAGGGAUAGGAGAAAUCCGUUCCGAAGCGGGACCUGCGUGCGCCGUAAGGUCCCGUGGUCGACCGAAAGGGAAUCGGGUUAAUAUUCCCGAACCCGGAUGCGGAGAUCGGCCCUUCGGGGUCAACUGCGGUAACGCAACCAAACUCGGAGACGUCGAUCGGGGUCCCGGGAAGAGUUGUCUUUUCUUUGUAAGGGAUCGGCUCCCUGGAAUCGGCUCGCCCGGAGAUAGGGAUGCUGUUCCCGUAAAGCACCGCGGCUCUUGCGGUGUCCGGAGCGCUCCGGUCGGCCCUUGAAAAUCCAGGGCGAGUGUGAUUUUCGUGCCGGACCGUACCCAUAUCCGCAGCAGGUCUCCAAGGUGAACAGCCUCUAGUCGAUGGAACA